RNAcentral lists this ribosomal RNA (253 nucleotides) under uncultured bacterium. RNAcentral describes it as "partial 16S ribosomal RNA". It matches the Rfam family "Bacterial small subunit ribosomal RNA", at positions 524 to 776 of the family's 1533-position model. The record is from RNAcentral.
UACGUAGGCAGCAAGCGUUGUUCGGAGUUACUGGGCGUAAAGAGUGUGUAGGCGGUUCGCCAAGUUCGGUGUGAAAUCUCCCGGCUUAACUGGGAGGGUGCGCCGAAAACUGGCGGGCUGGAGUGCGGGAGAGGAGAGCGGAAUUCCUGGUGUAGCGGUGAAAUGCGUAGAUAUCAGGAGGAACACCUGCGGUGUAGACGGCUCUCUGGACCGUUUCUGACGCUGAGACACGAAAGCGUGGGUAGCAAACAGG